UUUGCUUGUAGCCGGGUUGAACAAACUAUAGAGCCUUUCUUUGAAAGUCCAACAUUUGGCCGUACUACAUGAGAAUAAAAAGUAUAUAAACACAGUUUUGAUUUUACCAACAAUAAUGUACAAAACAGAAUGGCGCCAUUAAUGUUCUCCUUAAGAUUUCUGUUCUUCCUUUCUCCCGUUUUGUUCCUCAUCAGCACUCAAUCC
This 204-nucleotide long non-coding RNA is filed under the name Prunus persica (peach). Its description in RNAcentral is "long non-coding RNA (PPER_LNC006413)". The record is from RNAcentral. Lineage: Eukaryota; Viridiplantae; Streptophyta; Magnoliopsida; Rosales; Rosaceae.